UACGGAGGGUGCAAGCGUUGUUCGGAAUCACUGGGCGUAAAGGGCGCGUAGGCGGCCUGCUAAGUCGAACGUGAAAUCCCUGGGCUCAACCCAGGAACUGCGUCCGAUACUGGUUGGCUUGAAUCCGGGAGAGGGAUGUGGAAUUCCAGGUGUAGCGGUGAAAUGCGUAGAUAUCUGGAGGAACACCGGUGGCGAAGGCGACAUCCUGGACCGGUAUUGACGCUGAGGCGCGAAAGCCAGGGGAGCAAACGGG
This 253-nucleotide ribosomal RNA is filed under the name uncultured bacterium. RNAcentral describes it as "partial 16S ribosomal RNA". It matches the Rfam family "Bacterial small subunit ribosomal RNA", at positions 524 to 776 of the family's 1533-position model. The record is from RNAcentral.